UCUCCGUUCCUUUUCUUUCCCCUUCUCUCCGGUGCCGAGAAAGAACCCAGCCACCACCAGUGCCAUUUUCUUCACAAUUCAACCCCAAAUCUUGAUAUUCUAAACCUAUGGGACUCGGGGAACAAGAUUAUGGUCUUGCAUGCAUCAUCGGGGCAUUGUGAAGUGAAUCACCAUUGAUGCCGUGAGCUUUGAAGCUCUCAAAUUCGAACCCAGGUGAAGUUGCUAGUGGAGACUUCCUUAAUCUUUUUCCACACAAUUCUGCUGCUUCGGAGUAUCUGUCUUAGAAACGAGGCAUAGAAUCCCGGCAUUAAGGUACUUCCGCAGCGGCAUCUUCGAGUCCUCUCGGGCUUUUGUAUCAAUUAAUGGCUUUCGUCACCCUCGGGUGUCGGGCAGCACGUGCCUAUCCUGGUAUUCAGGUAAUAUCAGGGUUGGGGCGUGUCAUUUACAUAGCUCUAGCUUCAAAAGCUUCAUUUACAAAAGCUCUAACU
Molecule: non-coding RNA, 488 nt
Organism: Malus domestica (apple)
Lineage: Eukaryota; Viridiplantae; Streptophyta; Magnoliopsida; Rosales; Rosaceae
Source: RefSeq, a predicted model, not a curated record